AGAGAUAGGUAGCACGCUACCGCUUCGUUUAUUUCAUUUAGAAAUAAACUUAGCUAGAAAUGUGAAUCAACUAGGAUUCGAACUUGGGUCUCGGGUACCAACCAUCAAGCCCUUUUGCCACUUGCGCUAGGGACGGUCGGUAAUUAAUAAUAUAUUUCUAGAGCAAGUCUACUGUGCUAUUAAGAGUACAGUAGUCUUUGUUCUGCUAACUUUAUUUUGAUUAUUUUGAUGAGCAGUUAGGAGAUGAGAGAAAGAAGAAAAAUUAAAAAAAAAUUCAAAGAGAAUAGAAAUUGAGACACCCAAUUUCUCUUUUCUCUCUCAUCCUAAUCACCUAUCAAAAUUGAUGAAUAAUUAGGAAAUUAAAAAUACAAGAGUUGCUAUACUUCUAAUUCUGCAGUAGCGCUACUCUCUAUUUCUAUACAAUGAAAUUUAAAAAAUAACUAAAUAUUCAC
Molecule: long non-coding RNA, 452 nt
Filed under: Ananas comosus (pineapple)
Lineage: Eukaryota; Viridiplantae; Streptophyta; Magnoliopsida; Poales; Bromeliaceae
Description: long non-coding RNA (ACOM_LNC040153)
Source: RNAcentral